RNAcentral lists this ribosomal RNA (1240 nucleotides) under metagenome. Its description in RNAcentral is "bacterial LSU rRNA". It matches the Rfam family "Bacterial large subunit ribosomal RNA", at positions 1564 to 2815 of the family's 2925-position model. The record is from RNAcentral.
UGAAUACGAGACGCUACGGCGUCGAAGCAGUCUAUGUCAUACUUCCAAGAAAAGCUUGCACUGUCAUAAACAAAUAAUGCCUGUACCAUAACCGACACAGGUGGGUAGGUAGAGUAUACUAAGGGGCGCGAGAUAACUCUCUCUAAGGAACUCGGCAAAAUGACUCCGUAACUUCGGGAGAAGGAGUGCCUUAUUUAUAAGGUUGCAAUAACAAGAUCCAAGCAACUGUUUAUCAAAAACACAGGUCUCCGCUAAGUCGUAAGACGAUGUAUGGGGGCUGACGCCUGCCCAGUGCCAGAAGGUUAAAGAAGUUGGUUAGCAUUAGCGAAGCUGAUAACUGAAGCCCUGGUGAACGGCGGCCGUAACGAUAACGGUCCUAAGGUAGCGAAAUUCCUUGUCGGGUAAGUUCCGACCCGCACGAAAGGCGUAAUGAUUUGGAUACUGUCUCAGAGAGGGGCUCGGUGAAAUAGACUUGUCUGUGAAGAUGCGGACUACCUGCACCAGGACAGAAAGACCCUAUGAAGCUUUACUGUAACUUGAAAUUGAAAUUGGACUUUAUUUGCGCAGUAUAGGUGGGAGGCAUUGAUAAUAUUCUUGCGGGAAUGUUGGAGCCAUCAGUGAGAUACCACUCUUGUAAUGUUAGAUUUCUAACUUUGGAUCAUUAUCUGGUCAAAGGACAGUUUCAGGCGGGCAGUUUGACUGGGGCGGUCGCCUCCUAAAUGGUAACGGAGGCGCACAAAGGUUUCCUCUGAACGGGUAGAAAUCGUAUCUAGAGUGUAAAGGCAUAAGGAAGCUUGACUGUGAGACCUACAAGUCGAGCAGGACGAAAGUCGGUCUUAGUGAUCUGACGGUGCUGAGUGGAAAGGCCGUCACUCAACGGAUAAAAGUUACUCUAGGAUAACAGGCUGAUCUCCCCCAAGAGUUCACAUCGACGGGGAGGUUUGGCACCUCGAUGUCGGCUCAUCGCAUCCUGGGGCGGUAGUACGUCCCAAGGGUUGGGCUGUUCGCCCAUGAAAGCGGUACGCGAGCUGGGUUCAGAACGUCGUGAGACAGUUCGGUCCAUAUCCGGUGUAGGCGUUAGAAUAUUGAGAGGAGCCUUCUUUAGUACGAGAGGACCGAGAAGGACAUACCUCUGGUGUACCAGUUAUCGUGCCAACGGUAAACGCUGGGUAGCUAUGUAUGGAGAGGAUAACCGCUGAAAGCAUCUAAGUGGGAAGCCCACCUCAAGAUAAGUAUUCUC